CGGGGCGUAGCGCAGCGGUAGCGUAUCUGCUUUGGGAGCAGAUGGUCGCCGGUUCGAUCCCGGCCGCCCCGACCA
Molecule: transfer RNA, 75 nt
Filed under: Acidobacteriota bacterium
Lineage: Bacteria; Pseudomonadati; Acidobacteriota
Also listed under: 2 other names
Description: Acidobacteria bacterium tRNA-Pro
Rfam family: tRNA
About the family: Transfer RNA (tRNA) molecules are approximately 80 nucleotides in length.
Source: RNAcentral